UGGGGAAUAUUGGACAAUGGGCGAAAGCCUGACCCAGCAACGCCGCGUGAAGGAUGAAGUAUUUCGGUAUGUAAACUUCGAAAGAAUAGGAAGAAUAAAUGACGGUACUAUUUAUAAGGUCCGGCUAACUACGUGCCAGCAGCCGCGGUAAUACGUAGGGACCAAGCGUUGUUCGGAUUUACUGGGCGUAAAGGGCGCGUAGGCGGCAUGACAAGUCACUUGUGAAAUCUCUGGGCUUAACCCAGAACGGCCAGGUGAUACUGUCGCGCUAGAGUGCAGAAGGGGCAAUCGGAAUUCUUGGUGUAGCGGUGAAAUGCGCAGAUAUCAAGAGGAACGCCUGAGGUGAAGACGGGUUGCUGGGCUGACACUGACGCUGAGGCGCGAAAGCCAGGGGAGCAAACGGGAUUAGAUACCCUAGUAGUCCCUGAGCGGGCUGGCAAGGCGCAU
This 447-nucleotide ribosomal RNA is filed under the name uncultured bacterium. Its description in RNAcentral is "bacterial SSU rRNA". It matches the Rfam family "Bacterial small subunit ribosomal RNA", at positions 355 to 825 of the family's 1533-position model. The record is from RNAcentral.